GUGCAGUCAGGCCGGCCAGUGGGCCCUCGGCGAUUUCAACGCCGUAGGCUUGUUUGAAUUCUGCACCGCGCA
Molecule: transfer RNA, 72 nt
Filed under: Serratia liquefaciens
Lineage: Bacteria; Pseudomonadati; Pseudomonadota; Gammaproteobacteria; Enterobacterales; Yersiniaceae
Description: tRNA-Glu(ttc)
Source: RNAcentral